RNAcentral lists this ribosomal RNA (579 nucleotides) under Coxiella burnetii. RNAcentral's name for it is "bacterial SSU rRNA". It matches the Rfam family "Bacterial small subunit ribosomal RNA", at positions 833 to 1411 of the family's 1533-position model. Lineage: Bacteria; Pseudomonadati; Pseudomonadota; Gammaproteobacteria; Legionellales; Coxiellaceae. The record is from RNAcentral.
UUACUUCUUAGUAGCGAAGCUAACGCGUUAAGUUCUCCGCCUGGGGAGUACGGCCGCAAGGUUAAAACUCAAAGAAAUUGACGGGGGCCCGCACAAGCGGUGGAGCAUGUGGUUUAAUUCGAUGCAACGCGAAAAACCUUACCUACCCUUGACAUCCUCGGAACUUGUCAGAGAUGAUUUGGUGCCUUCGGGAACCGAGUGACAGGUGCUGCAUGGCUGUCGUCAGCUCGUGUCGUGAGAUGUUGGGUUAAGUCCCGUAACGAGCGCAACCCUCGUCCUUAGUUGCCAGCGAGUCAAGUCGGGAACUCUAAGGAGACUGCCGGUGAUAAACCGGAGGAAGGUGGGGAUGAUGUCAAGUCAUCAUGGCCCUUACGGGUAGGGCUACACACGUGCUACAAUGGGCAGUACAAAGGGUUGCCAAGCCGCGAGGUGGAGCUAAUCCCAGAAAACUGCUCGUAGUCCGGAUUGGAGUCUGCAACUCGACUCCAUGAAGUUGGAAUCGCUAGUAAUCGCGAAUCAGCAUGUCGCGGUGAAUACGUUCUCGGGCCUUGUACACACCGCCCGUCACACCAUGGGAGU